This 1380-nucleotide long non-coding RNA is filed under the name Cricetulus griseus (Chinese hamster). RNAcentral describes it as "lncRNA (ENSCGRG00015004494.2)". The record is from RNAcentral. Lineage: Eukaryota; Metazoa; Chordata; Mammalia; Rodentia; Cricetidae.
CUUGCUCUUGUGUCUAGUAAGAUCCCUGAAAUCUAAGGAUUAUGUGUGUGUGUGUGUGUGUGUGUGUGUGUGUGUGUGUGGUGUGAGCUAUAAUCUCAGGAAGCAGGAGAAGUUAGAGGCAUCAACAGUUGUGAUGUGUAUGAGUGUGCGAGCAUGUCUCUCUGUGUGUUAGGAGAUGAAGUACUCAUAUUCCUGCUGUUUGCAGACUCAGCCAGAAGCCCAGCCAAGGAAAACAUGAAGUGGGCAGCCAGCUUGAGCCUGGGAGACACCCUGCAGCUCUGGAGUGUGUCUGAAACCUCAAGGACCUUGAAACCUUGCCUGCUCUGAUGAAUCACCUACUCACAGUCCUCUAGACAAUCCCCUUUCUGCAGGAUGAGAAAAUAAGAUUUGAUUACCCACUGUGGUGGCUUGAAUGCAAUUGAAUCCCCAUAAUCCCCAAAGGAGUGGCACUAUUAGGAGAUGGAGCCAGCACCAUGUCUGCCUGCACGCUGCCAUAAUCCCUGCAAUGAUGAUAACGGACUGAACCUCUGAAACUGUAAGCCUCCCCAAUUAAAUGCUUUCUUUUAUAAGAGUUGCUGUGGUCAUGGUGUCUCUUCACAGCAAUAGAAACCCCAAGACACCCUCCAUGUGGGAGAACUGUCCCUGAGGUUUCUCUUCAGCAGAGGAGACAAUGGCUAUAUAGCCUGACACUGGAGGCCAACACAGAUGCCCUGGAAGGAAGGCUGAGUGGAGCCUACAGAGAAGGGCUGGUGUGUCUGGAGACUCAGGUCAGAGAACCUUGGGGGAGGGGGCAAAGGAGGGGAGCUGAGCUGGAUCCUCACCAAGUUGGGAUAAAAGUCACCGGAAUGGCCUGCACAGAGCAGAGGGAUGGGGACAGUGCAGACCCACUGUACAACCACAAGAAAUGGCUAAAGCUUGGAAGCAGUAGGUGGGAAUCCCAGAAAGAGAGGGGAAGGGAGAGGUGCCUCACCCCCAAUGUAGACGGCUCCUAGACAGCUGACACACUGCAAAAUGCUGUCGAGACAGGGGGAGCAGACUCCUGUUGGUGGGAGGAGGCAAUGAGUCAACCCCAGCCAGAGUGAAGGAGGAAUUCAUGUAUGGCAGAAGCCCUCUACACCCUUCUGGGUCUGUGCUGGCUAUGGCUCUGCAGGAGACAGUUCUUUCAAAAGACUUCAGUUGCGUAAGUACUGUGCUCUCAUUCUGGAAAAAUUAGAAAACAUGUCAGGCCAAAUAACAAAACUAUCGAUAAGUGUUAUCAAAGUACAGGCUACCCCUCCCCUGCCAGAGAGAACAACUACAUUCCUCCAGUGUUUAGUCCUAGAGACACUCGAGGGGGGCACAAGCAGUGGGGUUCACGUCCCAUCACAGCUUGCCCUCUCU